UUAGUUUUUCUUCCAGUUAACAUUACAUACAAUCUGCAGUUAAAGUUUAUUAAACAUUUAUUAGAUUCAUAAACUAUCCUGGAUUUUUUUUACCAAACUUGGAAGCUUCUUUCAAUCAAAAGACAGUAUCGAGAGGGAAAUUUUUAUUGAUGUUUUUCCUCAUUUUUGUUGAGUCUGCGAUUAACAGCAAAAGUAGGCGAGACACUGGGUUCCGUGGAACCCUUACGAAUUUUUU
Molecule: long non-coding RNA, 235 nt
Filed under: Mytilus galloprovincialis (Mediterranean mussel)
Lineage: Eukaryota; Metazoa; Mollusca; Bivalvia; Mytilida; Mytilidae
Source: RNAcentral